This 789-nucleotide ribosomal RNA is filed under the name Bacillus aerius. RNAcentral describes it as "bacterial SSU rRNA". It matches the Rfam family "Bacterial small subunit ribosomal RNA", at positions 51 to 823 of the family's 1533-position model. Lineage: Bacteria; Bacillati; Bacillota; Bacilli; Caryophanales; Bacillaceae. The record is from RNAcentral.
CUAUAAUGCAGUCGAGCGGACAGAAGGGAGCUUGCUCCCGGAUGUUAGCGGCGGACGGGUGAGUAACACGUGGGUAACCUGCCUGUAAGACUGGGAUAACUCCGGGAAACCGGAGCUAAUACCGGAUAGUUCCUUGAACCGCAUGGUUCAAGGAUGAAAGACGGUUUCGGCUGUCACUUACAGAUGGACCCGCGGCGCAUUAGCUAGUUGGUGAGGUAACGGCUCACCAAGGCGACGAUGCGUAGCCGACCUGAGAGGGUGAUCGGCCACACUGGGACUGAGACACGGCCCAGACUCCUACGGGAGGCAGCAGUAGGGAAUCUUCCGCAAUGGACGAAAGUCUGACGGAGCAACGCCGCGUGAGUGAUGAAGGUUUUCGGAUCGUAAAGCUCUGUUGUUAGGGAAGAACAAGUGCAAGAGUAACUGCUUGCACCUUGACGGUACCUAACCAGAAAGCCACGGCUAACUACGUGCCAGCAGCCGCGGUAAUACGUAGGUGGCAAGCGUUGUCCGGAAUUAUUGGGCGUAAAGGGCUCGCAGGCGGUUUCUUAAGUCUGAUGUGAAAGCCCCCGGCUCAACCGGGGAGGGUCAUUGGAAACUGGGAAACUUGAGUGCAGAAGAGGAGAGUGGAAUUCCACGUGUAGCGGUGAAAUGCGUAGAGAUGUGGAGGAACACCAGUGGCGAAGGCGACUCUCUGGUCUGUAACUGACGCUGAGGAGCGAAAGCGUGGGGAGCGAACAGGAUUAGAUACCCUGGUAGUCCACGCCGUAAACGAUGAGUGCUAAGUGU